RNAcentral lists this ribosomal RNA (198 nucleotides) under uncultured bacterium. Its description in RNAcentral is "partial 16S ribosomal RNA". It matches the Rfam family "Bacterial small subunit ribosomal RNA", at positions 328 to 539 of the family's 1533-position model. The record is from RNAcentral.
ACGCUCGACACCUACGGAGGCAGCAGUCGGGAAUAUUGCGCAAUGGAGGAAACUCUGACGCAGUGACGCCGCGUGCAGGAAGAAGGUUUUCGGAUUGUAAACUGCUUUAGACAGGGAAGAAAAAGGACAGUACCUGUAGAAUAAGCUCCGGCUAACUACGUGCCUGCAGCCGCGGUAAUCUGAGCGGGCUGGCAAGGC